Molecule: unclassified non-coding RNA, 330 nt
Filed under: soil metagenome
Description: partial contains 5.8S ribosomal RNA, internal transcribed spacer 2, and large subunit ribosomal RNA
Rfam family: 5.8S ribosomal RNA (bases 1-121)
Source: RNAcentral
GAUGAAGAACGUAGCGAAAUGCGAUAAGUAAUGUGAAUUGCAGAAUUCAGUGAAUCAUCGAAUCUUUGAACGCAUAUUGCGCCCCUUGGUUAUUCCGGGGGGCAUGCCUGUCCGAGCGUCAUUACAACCCUCAAGCUCAGCUUGGUGUUGGGCCCCGCCGCCCCGGCGGGCCCUAAAGUCAGUGGCGGUGCCGUCCGGCUCCGAGCGUAGUAAUUCUUCUCGCUCUGGAGGUCCGGUCGUGUGCUCGCCAGCAACCCCCAAUUUUUUUCAGGUUGACCUCGGAUCAGGUAGGGAUACCCGCUGAACUUAAGCAUAUCAAUAAGCGGAGGA